ACUGUGGAGUAUUAUAUCAAAUCAAAGUAGUUCUAUAGAACAAAAUGAGAUACGAAGAAACAGUAA
Molecule: non-coding RNA, 66 nt
Filed under: unclassified sequences
Description: RAGATH-18 RNA
Rfam family: RAGATH-18 RNA
About the family: Actinobacteria, Firmicutes, Fusobacteria, Thermotogae (1 example). Nearby to self-cleaving ribozyme genes
Source: Rfam by way of RNAcentral